RNAcentral lists this ribosomal RNA (1453 nucleotides) under Lactiplantibacillus plantarum. RNAcentral describes it as "bacterial SSU rRNA". It matches the Rfam family "Bacterial small subunit ribosomal RNA". Lineage: Bacteria; Bacillati; Bacillota; Bacilli; Lactobacillales; Lactobacillaceae. The record is from RNAcentral.
CGGACCCGUAGAGGUGAUCUGGCUCGGAUGUCGUAACAGGGGACCCUAGAGUUUGAUUUUGGUUCGAGAGAGUGGAAAACUGGUGAGUAACACGUGGGAAACCUGCCCAGAAGCGGGGGAUAACACCUGGAAACAGAUGCUAAUACCGCAUAACAACUUGGACCGCAUGGUCCGAGCUUGAAAGAUGGCUUCGGCUAUCACUUUUGGAUGGUCCCGCGGCGUAUUAGCUAGAUGGUGGGGUAACGGCUCACCAUGGCAAUGAUACGUAGCCGACCUGAGAGGGUAAUCGGCCACAUUGGGACUGAGACACGGCCCAAACUCCUACGGGAGGCAGCAGUAGGGAAUCUUCCACAAUGGACGAAAGUCUGAUGGAGCAACGCCGCGUGAGUGAAGAAGGGUUUCGGCUCGUAAAACUCUGUUGUUAAAGAAGAACAUAUCUGAGAGUAACUGUUCAGGUAUUGACGGUAUUUAACCAGAAAGCCACGGCUAACUACGUGCCAGCAGCCGCGGUAAUACGUAGGUGGCAAGCGUUGUCCGGAUUUAUUGGGCGUAAAGCGAGCGCAGGCGGUUUUUUAAGUCUGAUGUGAAAGCCUUCGGCUCAACCGAAGAAGUGCAUCGGAAACUGGGAAACUUGAGUGCAGAAGAGGACAGUGGAACUCCAUGUGUAGCGGUGAAAUGCGUAGAUAUAUGGAAGAACACCAGUGGCGAAGGCGGCUGUCUGGUCUGUAACUGACGCUGAGGCUCGAAAGUAUGGGUAGCAAACAGGAUUAGAUACCCUGGUAGUCCAUACCGUAAACGAUGAAUGCUAAGUGUUGGAGGGUUUCCGCCCUUCAGUGCUGCAGCUAACGCAUUAAGCAUUCCGCCUGGGGAGUACGGCCGCAAGGCUGAAACUCAAAGGAAUUGACGGGGGCCCGCACAAGCGGUGGAGCAUGUGGUUUAAUUCGAAGCUACGCGAAGAACCUUACCAGGUCUUGACAUACUAUGCAAAUCUAAGAGAUUAGACGUUCCCUUCGGGGACAUGGAUACAGGUGGUGCAUGGUUGUCGUCAGCUCGUGUCGUGAGAUGUUGGGUUAAGUCCCGCAACGAGCGCAACCCUUAUUAUCAGUUGCCAGCAUUAAGUUGGGCACUCUGGUGAGACUGCCGGUGACAAACCGGAGGAAGGUGGGGAUGACGUCAAAUCAUCAUGCCCCUUAUGACCUGGGCUACACACGUGCUACAAUGGAUGGUACAACGAGUUGCGAACUCGCGAGAGUAAGCUAAUCUCUUAAAGCCAUUCUCAGUUCGGAUUGUAGGCUGCAACUCGCCUACAUGAAGUCGGAAUCGAUAGUAAUCGCGGAUCAGCAUGAAGCGGUGAAUACGUUCCCGGAAGGGGUUCACAGGGCCCCAGAAAGUGGUAACAAGGUACCCGUAGAGUGGCCCAGGCUCCGAAAGUCGUAACAAUGUACGCUCGAAA